AUGGGGAAUCUUCCGCAAUGGACGAAAGUCUGACGGAGCAACGCCGCGUGAGUGAAGAAGGUUUUCGGAUCGUAAAGCUCUUUCGUUAGGGACGAACGUGCUCUUUGUGAAUAAUGAGGAGUAAUGACGGUACCUAAAUAAGAAGCCACGGCUAACUACGUGCCAGCAGCCGCGGUAAUACGUAGGUGGCAAGCGUUGUCCGGAAUUAUUGGGCGUAAAGCGCGCGCAGGCGGGAUAUCAAGUCUGUCUUAAAAGUGCGAGGCUCAACCUCGUGAGGGGACAGAAACUGGUAUUCUUGAGUGUCGGAGAGGAAAGUGGAAUUCCAAGUGUAGCGGUGAAAUGCGUAGAGAUUUGGAAGAACACCAGUGGCGAAGGCGACUUUCUGGACGAUGUCUGACGCUGAGGCGCGAAAGCUAGGGGAGCGAACGGGAUUAGAAACCCUUGUAGUCC
This 450-nucleotide ribosomal RNA is filed under the name uncultured bacterium. Its description in RNAcentral is "partial 16S ribosomal RNA". It matches the Rfam family "Bacterial small subunit ribosomal RNA", at positions 354 to 796 of the family's 1533-position model. The record is from RNAcentral.